RNAcentral lists this unclassified non-coding RNA (224 nucleotides) under Hevea brasiliensis (rubber tree). Lineage: Eukaryota; Viridiplantae; Streptophyta; Magnoliopsida; Malpighiales; Euphorbiaceae. The record is from RNAcentral.
AUCCAAAAGUGUCCAUUUUCUUGGAAACUAACUGAAAAGAGAGAGAUCCCAGAAACUCAUUAAAGAAUUGGUGGAGCGCCAAAAUAUAAUCAAUGAAACCAUGGGGAAUAGAAAAAUGAAAAACAAAUAGUAUUUCUCACCUAAACUCUCUUAUAAUAAUUAGAUCAAUGCAAACGACCCAUGUGUGGACUGCAAACGACCCAUAAGAUGAUCAUUUAUUACUA